UCCACGCCGUAAACGAUGAACACUAGGUGCUGGAAGGAUUUUAACCUUUCAGUGCCGAAGCUAACGCAUUAAGUGUUCCGCCUGGGGAUUACGGUCGCAAGGCUGAAACUCAAAGGAAUUGACGGGGGCCCGCACAAGCGGUGGAGCAUGUGGCUUAAUUCGAUGAUACGCGAGGAAUUUGACAUGCAUUUGACAGUCUUCGAGAUCUCCCCGGGGCAAAGCACAGGUG
RNAcentral lists this ribosomal RNA (229 nucleotides) under uncultured bacterium. RNAcentral's name for it is "partial 16S ribosomal RNA". It matches the Rfam family "Bacterial small subunit ribosomal RNA", at positions 794 to 1040 of the family's 1533-position model. The record is from RNAcentral.